GACGGAGGAUGCAAGUGUUAUCCGGAAUCACUGGGCGUAAAGCGUCUGUAGGUGGUCAAAUAAGUCAACUGUUAAAUCUUGAGGCUUAACCUCAAAAUCGCAGUCGAAACUAUUAGACUAGAGUAUAGUAGGGGUAAAGGGAAUUUCCAGUGGAGCGGUGAAAUGCGUAGAGAUUGGAAAGAACACCGAUGGCGAAGGCACUUUACUGGGAUAUUACUAACACUCAGAGACGAAAGCUAGGGUAGCAAAUGGG
Molecule: ribosomal RNA, 253 nt
Filed under: uncultured bacterium
Lineage: Bacteria
Description: partial 16S ribosomal RNA
Rfam family: Bacterial small subunit ribosomal RNA
Source: RNAcentral